This 884-nucleotide long non-coding RNA is filed under the name Mytilus galloprovincialis (Mediterranean mussel). The record is from RNAcentral. Lineage: Eukaryota; Metazoa; Mollusca; Bivalvia; Mytilida; Mytilidae.
CUACAUGUAUGCUACCUAAACAAUAUCAUUCUUUUAUUGAUACUCCUACAUGUAUGCUACCUAAACAAUAUCAUUCUUUUGUUUAUACUCCUACAUGUAUGCUACCUAAACAAUAUCAUUCUUUUAUUUAUACUCCUACAUGUAUGCUACCUUAAAUAAUACAUGUAUUUACACAGUCUUGUGUGUAUGUAAUAAGGUUAUGAAUAUAUGUAUGAACAGUCUUGUUUGUAUGUAAGAAGGUUAUGAAUAUGUAUAUGUAAGAAUGAAAUGGCAUUAAGAAAAUGGAAGACUUUGCCUACCUGAUUUUAACAUUGUGAUCUAGUCAUUUUAUACAGUGCGUGUGCAACAUGUGCAAUGAAUUAAGCUGUGUUUGCCUGCAUAUGCAUUUUUUUACUUUGGAAGUUAUGUUUUUUUUUAUAUUUUUGUACAUUAAAACAUGUAAAUCAUCCAUUGAACCAUGUACAGAAAUGUGAAUAGAAAACUUUUAUAAUGGAUGUCAAAUAAUUUGUGCUCAGUGAAAAUGUAGAUGAAGGUAAACAUUUACUGUGGAUUCAUUAUUUUUUGUUGGAUACUAAUUUUCUUAGAUUUUGUGGGUACGGUUGAACAACGAAAUUAUCAUAAUUUUAUGUUCCAAGAAUGGCAAACAAGACCUGUAUGCAGACUUCAGCAAAACCACAAAAUUAAAUAUCCUCUACAUCCACUAUGAUGCAAGUUUUCCUAAUCCACAAAAAUUGGUACCCACGAAAUAAAUAAAUCCACAGUAUAUCUAUAACUUUAGUAUUUUUCCCCAUUUUCAAAAGUGCCAUUACUGGGUACUAUUUAAAUCUAAGUUGUCAGUUAGAACUAUGUCUUCUUUGUUUUAAAUGUAUGACUUUUGUGUGAAA